CUCAUAUAAAAACGAAGGGAAGCAUUCGGCUGGUUCUCUUUGGCGGCGGCGAGGCAGCGGGACAUUUAGGAGUGGUGCUGAAUUUUGUUUGCGUGCGGAGGUCUUCGCAGCACGGAUGCAGAAAACGGUACGCUUCAGCUUGAUGGGUAUGCAGAACAUGGGUUCCUCUCAUCUUCCCUGUGGAUUGUAAGAGUAGUGUGGAACUAGAGCAGUGGAUCACAAUCCUGCUCAGUUAAAGGGAAAUUCCACUUUUUGUGUUAGAUGUCAAGUUGUUCAGAGUGGCUCAUUGCACAUGUAGUAAAAUCUUUCUAGAAGAGGUGAGUGACAUUCAUUCAAGUUAACACUUAGUUAUACAUGGUAGUCAGAACAAAUUUGAGUAUGAAGAUACCAGCUGUUUAUGCUGCCAAAUAGUUCCUGCUUAAAAUACAGGUCACUUUGGUUACUCUCCCUCUAUUCAAGUGAAUAAAUUGUGGUAGAAUGGAGUGGUGCUGGAUUAACAGCCUCUUAUUUGGAUUUGAGUAAACUGUUGUUGGGUGUUUGUCAGUGUACUUGUGCAAGUCUGAUUGUCUUGGGUACAUUGAAUAAAGGUCUGAUCUUCCUUGUA
Molecule: long non-coding RNA, 604 nt
Organism: Pygocentrus nattereri (red-bellied piranha)
Lineage: Eukaryota; Metazoa; Chordata; Actinopteri; Characiformes; Serrasalmidae
Exons: 3
Source: RefSeq, a predicted model, not a curated record